Molecule: ribosomal RNA, 301 nt
Filed under: uncultured bacterium
Lineage: Bacteria
Description: partial 16S ribosomal RNA
Rfam family: Bacterial small subunit ribosomal RNA
Source: RNAcentral
CAGCAGCCGCGGUAAUACGUAGGGUGCAAGCGUUAAUCGGAAUUACUGGGCGUAAAGCGUGCGCAGGCGGUUUGUUAAGACAGAUGUGAAAUCCCCGGGCUCAACCUGGGAACUGCAUUUGUGACUGGCAAGCUAGAGCAUGGCAGAGGGGGGUGGAAUUCCGCGUGUAGCAGUGAAAUGCGUAGAUAUGUGGAGGAACACCGAUGGCGAAGGCAGCCCCCUGGGCCAAUACUGACGCUCAUGCACGAAAGCGUGGGGAGCAAACAGGAUUAGAUACCCCCGUAGUCCCUGUCUCUUAUAC